UUUUGUGGUAGCUUUCUUCAUGGCACAUUUGUUAAGUUUUCAAAUGGACUGUACUCUCACACACAUAUUGCAUAGGAGCUGACAAGGCUGGAGGACAGAGCAUGCUCUCUCCUUUUCCAUGUCCAGUUUGGCUCCCACAUAG
Molecule: small nucleolar RNA, 142 nt
Organism: Suncus etruscus (white-toothed pygmy shrew)
Lineage: Eukaryota; Metazoa; Chordata; Mammalia; Eulipotyphla; Soricidae
Product: small nucleolar RNA SNORA12
Exons: 1
Source: RefSeq, a predicted model, not a curated record